Oncorhynchus keta (chum salmon) is the source of this 600-nucleotide long non-coding RNA. RefSeq lists it as uncharacterized. The transcript has 2 exons. The record is from RefSeq and is a predicted model, not a curated record. Lineage: Eukaryota; Metazoa; Chordata; Actinopteri; Salmoniformes; Salmonidae.
UGGUAAUGUAUGGUCAGUCAUGAUUUUGUAUUCCUGUGGUAAUGUAUGGUCAGUCAUGAUUUUGUAUUCCUGUGGUAAUGUAGUUAGUUCCCUUUAGGAGGACUGUGAAUACAGCAUUUACCCAGACGACCCAGAGAUGAUAGGGUCUGUCUGCAUGCUCUCCUUGGAGGAGCAGGAACGUGUGUGUUUAUGUGUGUGUGUGUUUAUGUGUGUGAACAGGUGUGUGUGUGUGUGUGUGCAGGUGUGUGUGAGCAGGUGUGUGUGUGUGUGUGUGUGUGUGUGUGUGUGUGUGUGUGUGUGUGUGUGUGUGUGUGAGCAGGUGUGUGUGUGUGUGUGUGUGUGAGCAGGUGUGUCUGUGUGUGUGAGCAGGUGUGUGUGUGUGUGUGAGCAGGUGUGUGUAUAUGUGUGUAUGUGUGUGCAGGUGUGUGUAUAUGUGUGUAUGUGUGUGCAGGUGUGUGUGUGAGAGCAGGUGUGUGUGUGCAGGUGUGUGUGUGUGUGUGUGUGUGUGUGUGUGUGUGUGUGUGUGUGUGUGUGUGUGUGUGUGUGUGUGUGUGUGUGUGUGUGUGUGUGUGUGUGUGUGUGUGUGUGUGUGUGUGUGUG